GGGUGAUUAGCUCAGCUGGGAGAGCAUCUGCCUUACAAGCAGAGGGUCGGCGGUUCGAUCCCGUCAUCACCCC
RNAcentral lists this transfer RNA (73 nucleotides) under Pseudomonas aeruginosa. Its description in RNAcentral is "tRNA-Val". It matches the Rfam family "tRNA". From Rfam's summary of the family: Transfer RNA (tRNA) molecules are approximately 80 nucleotides in length. Their secondary structure includes four short double-helical elements and three loops (D, anti-codon, and T loops). The record is from RNAcentral. Lineage: Bacteria; Pseudomonadati; Pseudomonadota; Gammaproteobacteria; Pseudomonadales; Pseudomonadaceae.